UUCCAAAAGGGAUUUUCCUUUUGGCCAGAAUGGAUUUUCCUCCUCCCAGGAUUUUCCUCCUCCUAAACUGGAUUUUCCUUUUUUCUAAAAAGGAUUUUUCUGUUUCCAGAAGGGAUUUUCAUCCUCCUAAAAUGGAUUUUUUUUUUUUUUCUGAAAUGCAUUUUCCUUUUCCCAUGAUGGAUUUUCCUUUUUCCAAAAUGGAUUUUCCCCCUCCCAAAAUGGAUUUUCCUUUUUCCAAAAUUGACUAAUUCUUUUUCCAGAAGGGAUUUUCCUUUUUCUAGAAAGGAUUUUCCUUUUCCCAUAAUGGAUUUUCCUUUUUCCAAAUUGCAAUUUUCUUUUCCCAAAAUAGAUUUUCCAUUUUCCAAUAUGGAUUUUCUUCCUCCCAUAAUGGAUUGUCCUCCUCCCAAAAGGGAUUUUCCUUCUCCCAAAAGGGAUUUUCCUUUUCCCAAAUUGCAUUUUCCUUUUCCCAUAAUGGAUUUUCCUUCUUCCAAAAUGGAUUUUUCUUUUCCCAGGAUGGAUUUUCCUCCUCCCAGCAUGGAUUUUCCUUUUUCCAAAUUGCAUCUUCCUAUUUCCAUAAUGGAUCUUCCUUUUCCCAAAAGGGAUUUUCCUCCUCCCAAAAUCCAUUUUCCUCAUCCCAGGAUGGAUUUUCCUUUUUCCGAAUUGCAUUUUCCUUUUCCCAUAAUGGAUUUUCCUUCUUCCAAAAUGGAUUUUUUUUCCUCCUAGAAUGCAUUUUCCUCCUCCCAAAAUAGAUUUUCCAUUUUCCCGAAUGCAUUUUCCUCAUCCCAGGAUGGAUUUUCCAUUUCCCAGGAUGGAUUUCCAUCAGGGGAUUGAAUUCCCGGCUGAUUUUUGCUCCCACCCCAGGAUCCCAAACCCUUCCCCUCAUCCCCCCCUUACUCCCAGGUUACUCCCAGGUUACUCCAGGUUACUCCCAGGUUACUCCAGGUUACUCCCAGGUUACUCCAGGUUGCAGCUCAGCUCCCCCAGGCACAAACCCGCGUGGGAGGAGGAGGAGGAGGAAGGAGCAGCUGGAAUUAUCCCACAUUUCCCCACAUUUCCCCACAGUUUGGCUUUUCAGCAUUAAUAAUCCCCCAAAUCCCAUCCCGGGGGUUCCGGGCUGUUCUGGCUCUGGGAUUUUCCUUUUCUGGAGGGAAAAUUCCGGCUCUGAGAGCCCCAACCCGCCCAGGGCAGCACAACCCUGCUCAUUUUCCUGCU
This 1212-nucleotide long non-coding RNA is filed under the name Zonotrichia albicollis (white-throated sparrow). RNAcentral's name for it is "lncRNA (ENSZALG00000000545.1)". Lineage: Eukaryota; Metazoa; Chordata; Aves; Passeriformes; Passerellidae. The record is from RNAcentral.